This 585-nucleotide ribosomal RNA is filed under the name uncultured bacterium. Its description in RNAcentral is "partial 16S ribosomal RNA". It matches the Rfam family "Bacterial small subunit ribosomal RNA", at positions 355 to 1375 of the family's 1533-position model. The record is from RNAcentral.
UGGGGAAUUUUGGACAAUGGGCGAAAGCCUGAUCCAGCAAUGCCGCGUGUGUGAAGAAGGCCUUCGGGUUGUAAAGCACUUUUGUCCGGGAAGAAAUCCUUGGCUCUAAUACAGUCGGGGGAUGACGGUACCGGAAGAAUAAGCACCGGCUAACUACGUGCCAGCAGCCGCGGUAAUACGUAGGGUGCAAGCGUUAAUCGGAAUUACUGGGCGUAAAGCGUGCGCAGGCGGUUUGCUAAGACCGAUGUGAAAUCCCCGGGCUCAACCUGGGAACUGCAUUGGUGACUGGCAGGCUAGAGUAUGGCAGAGGGGGGUAGAAUUCCACGUGUAGCAGUGAAAUGCGUAGAGAUGUGGAGGAAUACCGAUGGCGAAGGCAGCCCCCUGGGCCAAUACUGACGCUCAUGCACGAAAGCGUGGGGAGCAAACAGGAUUAGAUACCCUGGUAGUCCACGCCCUAAACGAUGUCAACUAGUUGUUGGGGAUUCAUUUCCUUAGUAACGUAGCUAACGCGUGAAGUUGACCGCCUGGGGAGUACGGUCGCAAGAUUAAAACUCAAAUGAAUUGACGGGGUCAUAGCUGUUUCCU